UACGAAGGGGGCUAGCGUUGUUCGGAAUCACUGGGCGUAAAGGGCGCGUAGGCGGCUUUAUAAGUCGGGGGUGAAAGCCUGUGGCUCAACCACAGAAUUGCCUUCGAUACUGUAGAGCUUGAGUCCGGAAGAGGUGAGUGGAACUCCUAGUGUAGAGGUGGAAUUCGUAGAUAUUAGGAAGAACACCAGUGGCGAAGGCGGCUCACUGGUCCGGUACUGACGCUGAGGUGCGAAAGCGUGGGGAGCAAACAGG
This 253-nucleotide ribosomal RNA is filed under the name uncultured bacterium. Its description in RNAcentral is "partial 16S ribosomal RNA". It matches the Rfam family "Bacterial small subunit ribosomal RNA", at positions 524 to 776 of the family's 1533-position model. The record is from RNAcentral.